GUCCCAGUGGCGCAGCGGAUAGCGCGUUGGACUUCUAAUCCAAAGGUCGUGGGUUCGAUCCCCACCUGGGAUG
Molecule: non-coding RNA, 73 nt
Organism: Cinara cedri
Lineage: Eukaryota; Metazoa; Arthropoda; Insecta; Hemiptera; Aphididae
Source: the annotation of a GenBank genome assembly